RNAcentral lists this long non-coding RNA (926 nucleotides) under Bos taurus (domestic cattle). RNAcentral's name for it is "uncharacterized LOC100196901, transcript variant 3 (LOC100196901)". Lineage: Eukaryota; Metazoa; Chordata; Mammalia; Artiodactyla; Bovidae. The record is from RNAcentral.
AACCCGCCCCCUCUUCCGAUGCGGGCUGCAUGGCUGGCAGUCAUGGCUUCCUCGCUGUGGUUCCAGCAAGGCCAGCAACUUCGGCUCUUGGGCCGAGGGAAGGCUGUGGAGGCUUUCUUUGGCAUCUGCAGAGACGGUGAGCAGCAGACCUGCUUAGAAGUAACGAAUGGAAGUCUGAAAUAGAAUAAAGAUGUAGGCUGUGGGCUUUGAAAAAGUCACAAGAAAGCCGUCAUCCAGGGAUGUAAGGAUCCUUGUGAUGAGAUAAAUGGUACAGCUUCAGUUUGAGGCCGAAAAGGAUACUCCAGAAAAAGACACUGGCUGCAGUGCUGUGGUGGCUGCCCUGGACCCGACGUGGAAUUUCUCUCGUGUCCACAGCGUGUGUAACAGGACCGACCUGCUUUACCUAAAGCAAGUGAAACCGUUCCUCUCGCGUUGUUUGUAACUUCUGCCGCAGGUGAACCAUGGCCCUUGGCAGUGAGAGCACCGAGUCCUAACCAUUGGACCACCAGGGGAUUCCCUGAACCUGUAUGUUUGACUUCAGAGGGCGUCUGAAUAUAAAUGCCCCCAGCACUUGGUGGGUGCUCUUUACUGGGCCCUUGCACCGUCUCCUGGAAAGAGGCAUUUGGGACCCACUAGCCUGCCUUACACACAAACACACAGGAAAAUGAUCGAUGGCUUAGAAUGAGUUCCUUCAGGAUUGCCUCUUGUAAAUUAAGGUAUAACUAAGAACAUGUGCAAUACCACACACAGAAUUUAGAUGAUCUUGGUGCAGUGGGGGGACUGCAGUGAUUGUAAAAUGAAACUUGCAUGUACACGCUCUGUUGAAGACUAAGGGGAAACAGGUGUUGAGCCUAAAAAAACAUUUCUCAGUGGGUUUCUACAGUGUCUUGGGCUUAACUUUAAAGCAAAUUAAAACAUUUAAAAGU